Molecule: ribosomal RNA, 796 nt
Filed under: Pholcus chappuisi
Lineage: Eukaryota; Metazoa; Arthropoda; Arachnida; Araneae; Pholcidae
Description: eukaryotic LSU rRNA
Rfam family: Eukaryotic large subunit ribosomal RNA
Source: RNAcentral
UGAGGGAAAGUUGCAAAGAACUUUGAAGAGAGAGUUCAAGAGUACGUGAAACUGCUCAGGGGCAAACGGGUGGGCCCUCGAAGUCUGAGCGGAGAGGGAUUCAGUCCCCGGUGACGGGGGGCGAGACGCCGGGGGAUCUCUAGGGUGAGACUCCCGGCGACCGGUCCGUCUCGGUACCGGGGACGCAGUUCUCUCUCCCGUUGGACGCCGCAGCCUCUCGGAGGUCGGCAGUAAAGGCAAUGUAGGUAGGUGGCGUGGGCGUCGGUCUCCGCACCGGCGCCCCGUGUCUGGCCGCAAAGGUUCCAGGCGCGACUCCCGAGAGAGGGAGAGAGUCUCGUACGCGAGACUGGCCGUUGCCUCGCCCAGGCGAGCGGCGUGCGGGUAUCAGGGACGCUGAGUGGCUCCCGGCGCUUCACCGCGCGGUGUCGCCGGGCUCGCGGUACCCGUUGGGUCCCGCACAGCCGCGGCGCAGUGCAAAACGGCUUGCGGCGAGUAGGUCGGUAACCCACCCGACCCGUCUUGAAACACGGACCAAGGAGUCUAACAUGUGCGCGAGUCAGUGGGACUCGAUCAAGCCCACGGGCAGAACGAAAGUGAGAAGGUGUCGGGAUCCACGUCCGCGAGGACGGGGCGCACCGACGGCCUGGGCAACCCAUAAUUACUUGGGCCCCGGAGCCAGAGCGUACACGUUGGGACCCGAAAGAUGGUGAACUAUGCCCGGGCAGGUUGAAGCUAGAGGAAACUCUGGUGGAGGACCGCAGCGGUUCUGACGUGCAAAUCGAUCGUCGAACCUAGG